Molecule: ribosomal RNA, 467 nt
Filed under: uncultured bacterium
Lineage: Bacteria
Description: partial 16S ribosomal RNA
Rfam family: Bacterial small subunit ribosomal RNA
Source: RNAcentral
GACGAACGCUGGCGGCGUGCUUAACACAUGCAAGUCGAACGGAAAGGCCUCUUUCGGGGGGUACUCGAGUGGCGAACGGGUGAGUAACACGUGAGUAACCUGCCCUUGACUUUGGGAUAACUUCAGGAAACUGGGGCUAAUACCGGAUAGGAGCUCCUGCUGCAUGGUGGGGGUUGGAAAGUUUCGGCGGUUGGGGAUGGACUCGCGGCUUAUCAGCUUGUUGGUGGGGUAGUGGCUUACCAAGGCUUUGACGGGUAGCCGGCCUGAGAGGGUGACCGGCCACAUUGGGACUGAGAUAAGGCCCAGACUCCUACGGGAGGCAGCAGUGGGGAAGCUUGCACAAUGGGUGGAAGCCUGAUGCAGCAACGCCGUGUGCGGGAUGACGGCCUUCGGGUUGUAAACCGCUUUCGCUCAUGACGAAGCUUUGUGUGACGGUAGUGGGUAAAGAAGCACCGGCUAACUACGUG